RNAcentral lists this ribosomal RNA (483 nucleotides) under uncultured bacterium. RNAcentral's name for it is "partial 16S ribosomal RNA". It matches the Rfam family "Bacterial small subunit ribosomal RNA", at positions 29 to 507 of the family's 1533-position model. The record is from RNAcentral.
AUUGAACGCUGGCGGCAUGCUUUACACAUGCAAGUCGAACGGCAGCGCGGGCUUCGGCCUGGCGGCGAGUGGCGAACGGGUGAGUAAUACAUCGGAACGUGCCCAGUAGUGGGGGAUAGCUCGGCGAAAGCCGGAUUAAUACCGCAUACGACCUGAGGGUGAAAGCGGGGGUCUUCGGACCUCGCGCUAUUGGAGCGGCCGAUGGCAGAUUAGCUAGUUGGUGGGGUAAAGGCCUACCAAGGCGACGAUCUGUAGCUGGUCUGAGAGGACGACCAGCCACACUGGGACUGAGACACGGCCCAGACUCCUACGGGAGGCAGCAGUGGGGAAUUUUGGACAAUGGGCGAAAGCCUGAUCCAGCAAUGCCGCGUGUGUGAUGAAGGCCUUCGGGUUGUAAAGCACUUUUGGCGGGAAAGAAAAGGACUGUGCCAAUACCACGGUUCGAUGACGGUACCCGCAGAAUAAGCACCGGCUAACUACGUG